GAUUAUGGCUCAGAACGAACGCUGGCGGCAUGCCUAACACAUGCAAGUCGAACGAAGUCUUCGGACUUAGUGGCGCACGGGUGAGUAACAUGUGGGAAUCUACCUAAAGGUUCGGAACAACUUCGGGAAACUGAAGCUAAUACCGGAUGUGUCCGUAAGGAGAAAGAUUUAUCGCCUUUAGAUGAGCCCGCACUGGAUUAGUUUGUUGGUGAGGUAAGAGCUCCACCAAGACUACGAUCUAUAGCUGAUUUGAGAGGAUGAUCAGCCACACUGGGACUGAGACACGGCCCAGACUCCUACGGGAGGCAGCAGUGGGGAAUAUUGGACAAUGGGGGAAACCCUGAUCCAGCAAUGCCGCGUGAGUGAAGAAGGCCUUCGGGUUGUAAAACUCUUUCAUCAAUGAUGAUAAUGACAUUAGUUGAAAAAGAAGCUCCGGCUAACUCCGUGCCAGCAGCCGCGGUAAUACGGAGGGGGCUAGCGUUGUUCGGAAUCACUGGGCGUAAAGCGUAUGUAGGCGGAUCAAAAAGUUAGAUGUGAAAUCCCUGGGCUCAACCCAGGAACUGCAUUUAAAACUAGUGAUCUAGAAUUUGGUAGAGGUUAGUAGAAUUUCCAGUGUAGAGGUGAAAUUCGUAGAUAUUGGAAAGAAUACCGGUGGCGAAGGCGACUAACUGGGCCAUUUUUGACGCUGAGAUACGAAAGCGUGGGUAGCAAACAGGAUUAGAUACCCUGGUAGUCCACGCAGUAAACGAUGAGUGCUAGUCGCUGGGUCAAUGGAUUCGGUGUCGAAGCUAACGCAUUAAGCACUCCGCCUGGGAAGUACGGUCGCAAGAUUAAAACUCAAAUAAAUUGACGGGGGCCCGCACAAGCGGUGGAACAUGUGGUUUAAUUCGAUGCAACGCGAAGAACCUUACCUGGUCUUGACAUCCUCGGACCGCUUCAGAGAUGAAGUUUCCUCUUCGGAGGCCGAGUGACAGGUGCUGCAUGGCUGUCGUCAGAUCGUGUCGUGAGAUGUUGGGUUAAGUCCCGCAACGAGCGCAACCCCUACCCUUAAUUGCCAUCGGGUUAUGCCGGGCACUUUAGGGGGACUGCCGGUGACAAGCCGGAGGAGGGUGGGGAUGACGUCAAGUCCUCAUGGCCUUUAUGACCAGGGCUACACACGUGUUACAAUGGGAGUUACAGAGGGAAGCUAAACCGCGAGGUCAUGCCAAUCCCAGAAAAACUUUCUCAGUUCGGAUCGCAGUCUGCAACUCGACUGCGUGAAGCUGGAAUCGCUAGUAAUCGCGGAUCAGCACGCCGCGGUGAAUACGUUCCCGGGCCUUGUACACCCCGCCCGUCACACCAUGGGAGCCGACAAGGGCAGAAGUCGCCGAGCCAACCUUCGGGAAGCAGGCGCCCAAGCUGUUGUUGACGACUGGGGUGAAGUCGUAACAAGGUAGCC
This 1438-nucleotide ribosomal RNA is filed under the name uncultured bacterium. RNAcentral's name for it is "bacterial SSU rRNA". It matches the Rfam family "Bacterial small subunit ribosomal RNA". The record is from RNAcentral.